GUCGUCGUGAUAACGAGCCCCGAUAUUUCGAUCGAAUAACAGCAAAGGAGAAAGAGAUAUAAAUAAUCGAAUAGAAAUUCAUACUCUAAAUGACCUCGAAGGCCAAGCCGUAAACAUGCGUUUACAAAUUGAAUUUCCAAUAUCAAAGGUGCUGCCACGAAGAAUUCCGGAGAUAACUGUGUCUGUCCUUGUCAUUUAAUAAAAACGCGCUAAAAGAUUAACCCCGUAACGAACAUGUCGAGAAUUAGUACGAGUUAUGAAAACCUAUCUGAUAUUCUGUUAAUAUUUUAUUUAAUUCGAAGGUAUUCAUAAAUCUGUCUUCUUUUACAAUUACAAUCGGUUCUAUAAGUUUCUCAUAUACAUUGGUAAUAUGUUUAUGGAUAUGAAAUCCUCAAAGUGGUUAAACUUCUUUAAUUUAGAUAUAAAUACAACUAUGACUGUUUCCCAUUCAUUUGGAAAGAAAGAGAAAAUAGAUAGAGAAAGAGAGAGAGAGA
Vespula pensylvanica (western yellowjacket) is the source of this 494-nucleotide long non-coding RNA. RefSeq lists it as uncharacterized. The record is from RefSeq and is a predicted model, not a curated record. NCBI's taxonomy places the organism in Eukaryota, Metazoa, Arthropoda, Insecta, Hymenoptera, Vespidae. The transcript is spliced from 2 exons.